GAUUAAGCCAUGCAUGUCUAAGUAUAAGCAAUUAUACCGCGAAACUGCGAAUGGCUCAUUAUAUAAGUUAUCGUUUAUUUGAUAGUACCUUACUACUUGGAUAACCGUGGUAAUUCUAGAGCUAAUACAUGCUAAAAAUCCCGACUUCGGAAGGGAUGUAUUUAUUAGAUUAAAAACCAAUGCCCUUCGGGGCUCACUGGUGAUUCAUGAUAACUCCUCGAAUCGCAUGGCCUUGUGCCGGCGAUGGUUCAUUCAAAUUUCUUCCCUAUCAACUUUCGAUGUUUGGGUAUUGGCCAAACAUGGUUGCAACGGGUAACGGGGAAU
This 324-nucleotide ribosomal RNA is filed under the name Fusarium oxysporum. RNAcentral's name for it is "SSU rRNA". It matches the Rfam family "Eukaryotic small subunit ribosomal RNA", at positions 42 to 370 of the family's 1831-position model. The record is from RNAcentral. Lineage: Eukaryota; Fungi; Ascomycota; Sordariomycetes; Hypocreales; Nectriaceae.